AACCGGGUGCUUGCACUUGGGGAUUAGUGGCGAACGGGUGAGUAACACGUGAGUAACCUGCCCUGGACUCUGGGAUAACCCCGAGAAAUCGGAGCUAAUACCGGAUAGGACCAGUCCUCGCAUGGGGGUUGGUGGAAAGUUUUUCGGUUUGGGAUGGACUCGCGGCCUAUCAGCUUGUUGGUGAGGUAAUGGCUCACCAAGGCGUCGACGGGUAGCCGGCCUGAGAGGGUGACCGGCCACACUGGGACUGAGACACGGCCCAGACUCCUACGGGAGGCAGCAGUGGGGAAUAUUGCACAAUGGGCGCAAGCCUGAUGCAGCAACGCCGCGUGCGGGAUGACGGCCUUCGGGUUGUAAACCGCUUUUAGUAAGGAAGAAGGGGAGCUUGCUCCUUGACGGUACUUGCAGAAAAAGGACCGGCUAACUACGUGCCAGCAGCCGCGGUAAUACGUAGGGUCCGAGCGUUGUCCGGAAUUAUUGGGCGUAAAGAGCUCGUAGGCGGUUUGUCGCGUCUGCCGUGAAAUCCUCAGGCUCAACCUGAGGUCUGCGGUGGGUACGGGCAGACUUGAGUGGUGUAGGGGAGACUGGAAUUCCUGGUGUAGCGGUGGAAUGCGCAGAUAUCAGGAGGAACACCGAUGGCGAAGGCAGGUCUCUGGGCACUUACUGACGCUGAGGAGCGAAAGCGUGGGGAGCGAACAGGAUUAGAUACCCUGGUAGUCCACGCCGUAAACGUUGGGCGCUAGAUGUGGGGACCUUUCCACGGUUUCCGU
RNAcentral lists this ribosomal RNA (770 nucleotides) under Agromyces sp. Its description in RNAcentral is "bacterial SSU rRNA". It matches the Rfam family "Bacterial small subunit ribosomal RNA", at positions 70 to 844 of the family's 1533-position model. The record is from RNAcentral. Lineage: Bacteria; Bacillati; Actinomycetota; Actinomycetes; Micrococcales; Microbacteriaceae.